This 69-nucleotide transfer RNA is filed under the name Scythrophrys sawayae (Banhado frog). RNAcentral describes it as "tRNA-Val". It matches the Rfam family "tRNA". Rfam says of the family: Transfer RNA (tRNA) molecules are approximately 80 nucleotides in length. Their secondary structure includes four short double-helical elements and three loops (D, anti-codon, and T loops). Lineage: Eukaryota; Metazoa; Chordata; Amphibia; Anura; Leptodactylidae. The record is from RNAcentral.
CGCAAUAUAGCUUAAUCAAAGCAUCUCGCUUACACCGAGAAAACCUCUGUGAAAACCAGAGUAUUUCGA